GAUGAACGCUCGCGGCAGGCCUAAUACAUGCAAGUCGGACGGGAUUCAGGAGCUUGCUUCUGAUGAGAGUGGCGCACGGGUGCGUAACACGUAUGUAACCUACCUUUAUCAGGGGGAUAGCCUCUCGAAAGAGAGAUUAAGCCCGCAUAAAAUCACAGCACAGCAUUGUGUAAUGAUCAAAUAUUUAUAGGAUAAAGAUGGGCAUGCGGAACAUUAGCUAGAUGGCGGGGUAACGGCCCACCAUGGCGACGAUGUUUAGGGGAUCUGAGAGGAUGGCCCCCCACACUGGUACUGAGACACGGACCAGACUCCUACGGGAGGCAGCAGUAAGGAAUAUUGGUCAAUGGGCGGAAGCCUGAACCAGCCAUGCCGCGUGCAGGAAGACGGCCCUACGGGUUGUAAACUGCUUUUAUACGGGAAUAAACCCAGAUACGUGUAUCUGGCUGAAUGUACUGUAAGAAUAAGGAUCGGCUAACUCCGUG
RNAcentral lists this ribosomal RNA (482 nucleotides) under uncultured bacterium. RNAcentral's name for it is "partial 16S ribosomal RNA". It matches the Rfam family "Bacterial small subunit ribosomal RNA", at positions 28 to 507 of the family's 1533-position model. The record is from RNAcentral.